This 521-nucleotide ribosomal RNA is filed under the name uncultured bacterium. RNAcentral's name for it is "bacterial SSU rRNA". It matches the Rfam family "Bacterial small subunit ribosomal RNA", at positions 988 to 1509 of the family's 1533-position model. The record is from RNAcentral.
CCAGAGAACUUUCCAGAGAUGGAUUGGUGCCUUCGGGAACUCUGAGACAGGUGCUGCAUGGCUGUCGUCAGCUCGUGUUGUGAAAUGUUGGGUUAAGUCCCGCAACGAGCGCAACCCUUUAUCCUUUGUUGCCAGCGGUUAGGCCGGGAACUCAAAGGAGACUGCCAGUGAUAAACUGGAGGAAGGUGGGGAUGACGUCAAGUCAUCAUGGCCCUUACGAGUAGGGCUACACACGUGCUACAAUGGCGCAUACAAGAGAAGCGACCUCGCGAGAGCAAGCGGACCUCAUAAAGUGCGUCGUAGUCCGGAUUGGAGUCUGCAACUCGACUCCAUGAAGUCGGAAUCGCUAGUAAUCGUGGAUCAGAAUGCCACGGUGAAUACGUUCCCGGGCCUUGUACACACCGCCCGUCACACCAUGGGAGUGGGUUGCAAAAGAAGUAGGUAGCUUAACCUUCGGGAGGGCGCUUACCACUUUGUGAUUCAUGACUGGGGUGAAGUCGUAACAAGGUAGGCGUAGUGCU